This is a long non-coding RNA of Cinclus cinclus, 3693 nucleotides long. RefSeq lists it as uncharacterized. The transcript has 3 exons. The record is from RefSeq and is a predicted model, not a curated record. Lineage: Eukaryota; Metazoa; Chordata; Aves; Passeriformes; Cinclidae.
UUGUACUGUAGAACUAAAAUUCUAAUAAAUUUAAAAUAAAUGUUUUAGGUGCAUGUUUUUAGCUUACUGAGUAAUUUGCAAAUAAAAAUCUGUGUAUUAAAGUUAAAAACUCUCUCUUUCACCACUGUCAUCACACUCAGGAAAAAAAGAGAUCUGCUCCAGCUUCUGCCUCUACUUGGGACUUUACUCCCAGGAGCUGCUUCUACUCAAGAUUUAUACCAAAAACCUAUUGCUACUUCUAUUUGGGACUCUAUACCAAAUAGCUUAGCACAUGAACUUUAACAUUUCAGUCUCUUGCUUUAAGACUAAUGUGCUUCUCCAAUAAGCAACUUUACACUCUGGGAUGGCCCUGCUUGAGCAGGGAGGUAGGUGACCCAUGGUGGUCCCCUGCAGCCUGACCCAUCCUGUGAUUCUGUGAGCAAAGAGGAGAGGACAGAGCCAAGUGUACGAGGUGGGUUUGACCAGUGCUUGAACAGAGGCCUUUUCUGACCAGCCACUUAUUCCAGCUCUUCUUUCUGUCCCUAUCAUGUUUUCCAUUAAUUGUGUAGAACAUGAAUGUUAUGUUAAAAUGACAAAAGUGUCUGACAAAAAGCAGAAAUGAUCAUGUGCUUUGGAGAUGGUUUGGUUUUCCCCCCAGUCUUAGCAAAACAACUGACUGUGGCAGCACUUUGUGAAAAAUGACACAGGUGGGUCACCAAAGUGAUGGUGCCUCAGAAGGGGUCCCAUGACAUUUAUUUGGGAAAAGCACCCUUUCUGACAGUUGCUUCUUUGUCACUUUUACCAACCCUGUCCCUCAGCAAUACUGAUUUAACUGUUUGUAAAGCUAUAUUGCAAAAUGAGGCAAAGUCAUUGAAAUAGCCUCGAUUUAAAAAAUAAACCAGCCUUCACCCCCUCCAAAAAAACCAAACCCAAACGGAAAAAAAACCCAAACCAACCAAACAAAAAUCCUCAAAACAAACAGAACCCCAGAAACUCCCAGAGGGUAGGUGAAAGCCACUUCCAGACAACUUUUAUGAUCGUUAUUCCCAUGCAAUAUUGUGUGGCAUGCUGAAAAAUAUUUACGAAUAACAUCAAUUUAAUGUGAAAUUAAAUGCCAGAACGGAUGAUACAGUGGUUGCAUUAUUGAGUAGCAUACUGAAUUCAAUUAAAUCUUGUCUUGUUAAUAAAUCUUGCAUCACUGCUGACAGCUGCUGUGAAGAAUCCCGAGAUUGUUUUGUAAGGACAUUCAGCCUGUUCCAAGCAGUGCCUGAGGAGCUGGUGGACGGCUGCCCAGCACAGUAAAGUGAUUGCAUCUUGUGAGGUUGACUGCAGAUUGCUAUCACAGUAAUAAAAACCAAGUUAAAAAUUACAAAAACCUGGUACCUCUAAAAGCUUAUGAGCCAUAGAAACGACCUACUACUAAGUCCUUACUGCCUCUGAGUAAUUGUUUAUUAGGUUGCUGGUUAGAUUUUAAGUUGGAAGAAGUGGACAAAUUGCUGUUGGUCUUUAUCAUGAUCUCUCUUUUUCUGCUGUUCUGAUGCAGCAGCUGUUGCUGGGAAUCAAACCCCUGAUCCACAGAGAAGGAGAACUGUGUCAUAACACAUGCUGCAUUACCUGUGUACACAUUUCUUUCCCAAUGGAGCAUGGACAAAAAGGAGCAAGUUCUACACAGCUGGAGUCCACGAAGGCAUAUUCCUGUGCAGAAAGAACUGAGUUGGUUUGAAAUACAAAGGAAACCAGAAGAGAUGUGGUUCAGAGUUCCAGGAAAGUCUAUUUCCCUCUCCUCAGGAGGAGAAUGGGACUACCAGAGCUCCUCACUUGGCCUCCUUCCAGCCACCCCAUGGGCUGCAAUCCAGGCAGGGAACAACAAUCAACCUGCACCAGCAGAACUCUGAUUGCUGCCUUUCCUGAUCGUCCUCAUCACGCAGCACGACAUGGGCUCCACAUUCUGAUCCCAACCCAUCUGUGGCACAUGUGCAGAGAAGCUUCUGGAUGUACCUGGGAAUCAUUGUGGCAUGACGCUGAGUCGGGAGUUUUGCCACAGCAGCAAGUUUGGGUGCUACUGGCCUGGCACAGCCUCAGAUUCCUGAGGAAAAGAUAGGAAUUGCCUGUAACAGGUAAUGUAGGGAGAAGCAGGGUAGGCGCCAUGUGAGAAGUUUCUCUUCCUGUCAACACCAGCUUUUGCUUUUGUAUGAUUUUGUAUGUGAUGGUCCACAGCACAAUCUUUGAACAAAUUAACAGCAACUUAUUUUACAUUUGAAGGAAGUCUGGAUGGAAUAGGCUUCCAGCAGGUUACUGGGGAGACUUUCAUUCUGGCACAUAUGAGAAAUGGGGGGAAUAGAGGUAAUCAGCCAGCCUGUAUCCCAGACUGAUGCCUAAAGGUUCCAUUGUUUAUUUUUACAUAGCAGUAUUUUAAAAACAACUUCUCAGAUUAAUGUAUUGACAUGCUCUCAGUUGGCUCUUGUUCUUUUUGUCCUUUCUUGGCCAUCCUCCACAGCCUUGUAAUGGAAACCACUGCACAGUUCUCCUCUACUCAGCCCUUGAGUUUCUAACACAAAUGUAUCUCUUUCAGGGGGAAAUGUGCCCCACAGAUUGUUCAAGGCUUCCUCCUUGUCACUGUAAAGCUGAUGUAAAGCAUGUCCUGAUGUUUGUCUAAGCAGAGAGAGAAAUUUUGUCAUCCUCCACCACAGACACUUCAUUGCCACUUUACCUCUCUACAGUCCACAGUUAAGUCCUACCCAUAGAUAAUCUGACCUUUUAAUGGGAAGUGUUUUGUUUUAGAAAAAGACAGUGUUAGUGUUUCUCAUGCAGGUUUUUGCCCUCGCUUUAUUUCAAUUUAUCCUUCAAUAAUAAAACAACUGAAUGUAAUGUGGAAAAAUCAGUUUAUUUUCUGGAAUUAAGUGAACUUCAUCCAAACUCAAAAUCCUACAGUCACUUUUAGCAUUUUUAAGUACACACUGAAUAAAAUAUUUUGACAUCUAGACUGUCAGAUAAUCUGUCAGUAACAAUUACAUCAUUCAAUGAAAGAACUGUUAAUUUCCAGUGUAAUUUAUUGGGAAAACAAUGCAUUUACUGCAGUGAAAUACAUUACGGGAUGCUACAAAAGCUACGUAACAUUUUUUCAAGUGAAAUAGUUGGCUUCAGAAUGCGGAAUAUUCUCUUGUGACAAAACCACAGGAAAAUGUGUUUUUCUCUCAAAAAAGAGAUCCUGGUCAGCAAACAUCAAUAAAGAGAAUGUACCUUGGUACAAGUACCCAGAACAGAGUGGUCACAGACCUCCAGGAGGCUUUAGGAUCCUCAUGUGGAAGGAUCAAAUACAUGGGACAAAGAGGAGGAGUGCUCAGGGUCCUACUCUUUAAAGGACAGGCUUGUGAGGCACAAAGGUUCAUACACAAAAUGCUUUACUUGGAGUGAUCUUUAAAAGCUGGAGAAGUUCUCAGCACUGUGGUGCCAUGCCCAGAACAAGGCUCUGUCUCUGGGCAGAGGUGUUGGCUGGCACAAUGCAAUCAUGGCUCUGGAGAGUUCCACAGGGGUUGGGUUUACAUCCUCCAGUUCUGCUUCACUGACAUUUCUCAGUUGCCUUUGUUCAAAAGUUUUCUUGUUGCUGUAGGGAAAUGUCAGAGCAUUAUGUGUAAUGAUGGUGGUGAUCAUUUCCAGAGUGCCCAGAGGACUGAAUUCCAGGUUUUGUGUGGUGCUGUUGGAUGGUGUCUGUCU